This 497-nucleotide ribosomal RNA is filed under the name uncultured bacterium. RNAcentral describes it as "partial 16S ribosomal RNA". It matches the Rfam family "Bacterial small subunit ribosomal RNA", at positions 28 to 507 of the family's 1533-position model. The record is from RNAcentral.
GACGAACGCUGGCGGCGUGCCUAAUACAUGCAAGUUGAGCGCUGAAGGUUGGUACUUGUACCAACUGGAUGAGCAGCGAACGGGUGAGUAACGCGUGGGGAAUCUGCCUUUGAGCGGGGGACAACAUUUGGAAACGAAUGCUAAUACCGCAUAAAAACUUUAAACACAAGUUUUAAGUUUGAAAGAUGCAAUUGCAUCACUCAAAGAUGAUCCCGCGUUGUAUUAGCUAGUUGGUGAGGUAAAGGCUCACCAAGGCGAUGAUACAUAGCCGACCUGAGAGGGUGAUCGGCCACAUUGGGACUGAGACACGGCCCUAACUCCUACGGGAGGCAGCAGUAGGGAAUCUUCGGCAAUGGACGAAAGUCUGGCCGAGCAACGCCGCGUGAGUGAAGAAGGUUUUCGGAUCGUAAAACUCUGUUGGUAGAGAAGAACGUUGGUGAGAGUGGAAAGCUCAUCAAGUGACGGUAACUACCCAGAAAGGGACGGCUAACUACGUG